UACAUGUGGGUGGCGAGUGGCGGACGGGUGAGUAACGCGUGGGAAUCUGCCCUAUAGUGGGGGACAACCCGACGAAAGUCGGGCUAAUACCGCAUACGCCCUAAGGGGGAAAGGCUUCGGCCGCUAUUGGAUGAGCCCGCGUCGGAUUAGCUAGUUGGUGAGGUAAUGGCUCACCAAGGCGACGAUCCGUACUGGUCUGAGAGGACGAUCAGCCACACUGGGACUGAGACACGGCCCAACUCCUACGGGAGGCAGCAGUGGGGAAUAUUGCACAAUGGGCGAAAGCCUGAUGCAGCAAUGCCGCGUGUGUGAAGAAGGCCUGCGGGUUGUAAAGCACUUUCGGUAGGGAAGAUUAUGACGGUACCUACAGAAAAAAGCACUGGCUAACUCCGUGCCAGCAGCCGCGGUAAUACGGAGGGUGCAAGCGUUAAUCGGAAUUACUGGGCGUAAAGCGCGCGUAGGCGGUUUGUAAGUCCGGAUUGUGAAAAGCCCCGGGUUAACCUGGGGAAUUUGCUUUCGAUACUGGAUAACUAGAAGUAUGGGUAAAAGGGUAAGGGAAAUUCCGGGUGUAACGGGUGAAAUGGUAAAAUUUUCCGGAGG
This 600-nucleotide ribosomal RNA is filed under the name uncultured bacterium. RNAcentral's name for it is "bacterial SSU rRNA". It matches the Rfam family "Bacterial small subunit ribosomal RNA", at positions 79 to 704 of the family's 1533-position model. The record is from RNAcentral.